AAGUGGACCUGAAGAGUUUCAGGUAGAACUUCUAUCUGUCGGGUCUAAUUCUAGCGACGGCUGUUGACCCUCCUCCCCUGCCGACAAGAUGUUAUGGACUUAUCGCAUGUUUAAUUAAAACAUUGCAUAAAAUGAUUGUGUUAUAAAUUUGGAACAUUCAUAUACCACACUUGCAUGCAUUUCUAUUAAAAUUUGUCUUGA
Magallana angulata is the source of this 201-nucleotide long non-coding RNA. RefSeq lists it as uncharacterized. Lineage: Eukaryota; Metazoa; Mollusca; Bivalvia; Ostreida; Ostreidae. The record is from RefSeq and is a predicted model, not a curated record. The transcript has 2 exons.